GACGAACGCUGGUGGCGUGCCUAACACAUGCAAGUCAAAGGAAAGCAACUUCGGUUGUAAGUACUUGGCGCAAGGGUGAGUAAUGUAUAGGUAAUCUGCCCUUAGGACUGGCAUAACCUCGAGAAAUCGAGGACAAUACCAGAUGAUGCAGCGGGACCGCAUGGUCAUGUUGUUAAAGAUUUAUCGCCUAAGGAUGAACCUAUAUCCCAUCAGGUAGUUGGCAGGAUAAUAGCCUACCAAGCCUACGACGGGUAGCUGGUCUGAGAGGAUGAUCAGCCACAUUGGAACUGAGACACGGUCCAGACUCCUACGGGAGGCAGCAGUGAGGAAUAUUGCGCAAUGGGCGAAAGCCUGACGCAGCAACGCCGCGUGGAUGAUGAAGUUCUUCGGAAUGUAAAGUCCUUUUGUAGAGGAAGAACAUGUCGGUUUACCGGCACUGACGGUACUCUGCGAAUAAGCCACGGCUAACUCUGU
Molecule: ribosomal RNA, 474 nt
Filed under: uncultured Chlorobiota bacterium
Lineage: Bacteria; Pseudomonadati; Chlorobiota
Description: bacterial SSU rRNA
Rfam family: Bacterial small subunit ribosomal RNA
Source: RNAcentral